RNAcentral lists this ribosomal RNA (468 nucleotides) under uncultured bacterium. Its description in RNAcentral is "partial 16S ribosomal RNA". It matches the Rfam family "Bacterial small subunit ribosomal RNA", at positions 28 to 507 of the family's 1533-position model. The record is from RNAcentral.
GACGAACGCUGGCGGCGUGCUUAACACAUGCAAGUCGAACGGAAAGGCCCUGCUUUUGUGGGGUGCUCGAGUGGCGAACGGGUGAGUAACACGUGAGUAACCUGCCCUUGACUUUGGGAUAACUUCAGGAAACUGGGGCUAAUACCGGAUAGGAGCUCCUGCUGCAUGGUGGGGGUUGGAAAGUUUCGGCGGUUGGGGAUGGACUCGAGGCUUAUCAGCUUGUUUGUGGGGUAGUGGCUUACCAAGGCUUUGACGGGUAGCCGGCAUGAGAGGGUGACCGGCCACAUUGGGACUGAGAUACGGCCCAGACUCCUACGGGAGGCAGCAGUGGGGAAUAUUGCACAAUGGGCGGAAGCCUGAUGCAGCAACGCCGCGUGCGGGAUGACGGCCUUCGGGUUGUAAACCGCUUUCGCCUGUGACGAAGCGUGAGUGACGGUAAUGGGUAAAGAAGCACCGGCUAACUACGUG